This 404-nucleotide ribosomal RNA is filed under the name uncultured prokaryote. RNAcentral describes it as "bacterial SSU rRNA". It matches the Rfam family "Bacterial small subunit ribosomal RNA", at positions 355 to 776 of the family's 1533-position model. The record is from RNAcentral. RNAcentral also lists the same sequence under 1 other name.
UGGGGAAUCUUGCGCAAUGGGCGAAAGCCUGACGCAGCAACGCCGCGUGCGGGAUGAAGGCCUUCGGGUUGUAAACCGCUUUCAGCAGGGACGAACGUGACGGUACCUGCAGAAGAAGCCCCGGCUAACUACGUGCCAGCAGCCGCGGUAAUACGUAGGGGGCAAGCGUUAUCCGGAUUUAUUGGGCGUAAAGAGCGCGUAGGCGGUCUGUUAAGCGAGAUGUGAAAACCGGGGGCUCAACCCGUGGCCUGCAUCUCGAACUGGCAGACUUGAGUCUGGUAGAGGAAAGUGGAAUUCCUGGUGUAGCGGUGAAAUGCGCAGAUAUCAGGAGGAACACCAGUGGCGAAGGCGGCUUUCUGGGCCACGACUGACGCUGAGGCGCGAAAGCUAGGGGAGCGAACAGG